CUUCUGGAAGAGCAGGAGGAUGGAGCUUACCCUGCACCACCAGACCCUGCACCUGAGACAGUUCCCCCCAUCCCCUGAGGAAUCUCUCUCUGGCUGGAUGUUCCUGCUGCACUCGGGAUCCCGGCGAGAUGAGACAGGCGUGGGCAGUCUCAGCAUCCAGAAGAGAUGGAAUAGUUGCAGGCCAUGUGGGCAGACACAGAGCACCUUUUGUUUUGUUACUGACAAGGAGCACCAAGUUGAGAUUUGAUUUCCGAAAUGGAAAAGGUGAUGGCUUGUCUGAGGAUUUAUGAAACAAAAUACUCAAAAGAAAAAUUGGAUGGCUCCUUUGGUCAUUUCUUCUUGAGUGUUCAUCCAGUUCAGUCUUGCUGUGGUAAUCACCCUUGGAAGUGCUCUGUUAUCUUCACAGUGUCUUCAGAA
Molecule: long non-coding RNA, 417 nt
Filed under: Parus major (Great Tit)
Lineage: Eukaryota; Metazoa; Chordata; Aves; Passeriformes; Paridae
Description: lncRNA (ENSPMJG00000018095.1)
Source: RNAcentral